GGGAGGUUUUAUAAAAAUGUGUUUUUUUCUGCCUGGAGAUAAUGGAGUUAGUGCAGUCCAUGACUCAAUUAUCUCCCGGGUACAGAGGAGGGAUUAUCUGAUUAUGUAUGGGAGUGUCCUGGAUCUGAGAGCCAAUGUGGUUGUGUAAUUGUUUAUAUUGUGGUUUACUCUCAGGUCCAGGGGGGAGUGUCCCUUGCAUAUAAGGCCAGUUGUGGCUCCCAUUAAAUGAGUUCCUG
Non-coding RNA from Pelobates cultripes (western spadefoot toad), 236 nucleotides. Lineage: Eukaryota; Metazoa; Chordata; Amphibia; Anura; Pelobatidae. The record is from the annotation of a GenBank genome assembly.